AUUGAACGCUGGCGGCAUGCCUUACACAUGCAAGUCGAACGGCAGCACGGGAGCAAUCCUGGUGGCGAGUGGCGAACGGGUGAGUAAUAUAUCGGAACGUGCCCAGUCGUGGGGAUAACGUAGCGAAAGCUACGCUAAUACCGCAUACGAUCUAUGGAUGAAAGCGGGGGAUCGCAAGACCUCGCGCGAUUGGAGCGGCCGAUAUCAGAUUAGGUAGUUGGUGAGGUAAAGGCUCACCAAGCCGACGAUCUGUAGCUGGUCUGAGAGGACGACCAGCCACACUGGGACUGAGACACGGCCCAGACUCCUACGGGAGGCAGCAGUGGGGAAUUUUUGGGACAAUGGGCGCAAGCCUGAUCCAGCAAUGCCGCGUGCAGGAUGAAGGCCUUAGGGUUGUAAAGCUCUUUUUACCAGGGAUGAUAAUGACAGUACCUGGAGAAUAAGCUACCGGCUAACUCCGUGCCAGCAGCCGACGG
This 476-nucleotide ribosomal RNA is filed under the name uncultured bacterium. RNAcentral describes it as "bacterial SSU rRNA". It matches the Rfam family "Bacterial small subunit ribosomal RNA", at positions 30 to 520 of the family's 1533-position model. The record is from RNAcentral.